Molecule: ribosomal RNA, 465 nt
Filed under: uncultured bacterium
Lineage: Bacteria
Description: partial 16S ribosomal RNA
Rfam family: Bacterial small subunit ribosomal RNA
Source: RNAcentral
CCUACGGGUGGCAGCAGUGGGGAAUAUUGCGCAAUGGGCGAAAGCCUGACGCAGCGACGCCGCGUGAGGGAUGAAGGUCUUCGGAUCGUAAACCUCUGUCAGCAGGGAAGAACGGUCACUGUGCUAAUCAGCAUUGAAUUGACGGUAUCUGCAAAGGAAGCACCGGCUAACUCCGGGCCAGCAGCCGCGGUAAUACGGAGGGUGCGAGCGUUAAUCGGAAUUACUGGGCGGAAAGCGCUCGUAGGUGGUAUGUCAAGUCAAGGGUUAAAUCCCUGCGCUCAACGUGGGAACUGCCUUUGAAACUGGCAGACUGGAGUGUGUGAGAGGAAAGUGGAAUUCGAGGUGUAGGGGUGAAAUCCGUAGAUAUCUGGAGGAACAUCAGUGGCGAAGGCGACUAUCUGGAAUAUAACUGACGCUGAGGAGCGAAAGCGUGGGUAGCAAACAGGAUUAGAUACCCCUGUAGUC